Molecule: long non-coding RNA, 1570 nt
Filed under: Sus scrofa (pig)
Lineage: Eukaryota; Metazoa; Chordata; Mammalia; Artiodactyla; Suidae
Description: lncRNA (ENSSSCG00060067372.1)
Source: RNAcentral
UCAAUAGACCAUAGUUAAACUUUGAUUACAUUUACUACUUUGUAAGAAGACAAUGAAAACCCUUAUCCCAAUGACCCAAACUGAGACAGCAGCAUGGGGCCAUGACUCACCUUGGGCUCUCUCCUGCCACCACCGCCAGAGGAGGGGUCUCGGCCCCACGGAGCCUGGCCUGGCCUUCGGCUUCCACCCUAUAAGGGAGACCCAAGAGACAAGGUGACACCCACAGUGAGACGCCAUCGACUGGGCUCCUCGGGCGGUCGGCGCUGCCCCGUUGGGAUCUCUCCUGCCACCACCGCCAGAGGAGGGGUCUCGGCCCCACGCAGCCUGGCCCGGCCUUCGGCUUCCACCCUACAAGGGACCCAAGAGACAAGGUGACACCCACAGUGAGACGCCAUCGACUGGGCUCCUCGGGCGGUCGGCGCUGCCCCGUUGGGCUCGAGGAUGGAAAGGCAGGAAGAGAAAGGCCCCGUUUCCUUGCGAGUGGACCUCAGAGUUCCAGACACACAUUAUUCAUCAUCGAUGCCUCAUACGCUGGCAUUGAUCAUCAUCGAUCCAGAAAAGGGGGACCUUCUCUUCCUUCGCCAUGGCCCGUGGAGUCAGGCAUUCCUCCCCGCACGGCCACUGGGCAACCCAAGGGGCCCGCCCCACCCAACGAGGCCUCGCCAUCCCUCGGGGGGGCCUCUAGGACCCGUCCCCUGGCUUUCGGUCUCUCUGGGCCGCGGAGGACCAGCUGGGCCCCUGUGCAGGACGUCCAAGAGACCUUCCUAGCCAGAGCUGUCCCAUCCCUGGGACGCCAGAGCCCUUCUGGACUGCUGGCCUCGCCCGCAUCUGCCGCCCACCCUCCACCAGCCCCUCGCACUGCCCUGCCCAGCCCAGCCCCGACAAGCCCUGGGAUGCUGCUCACACUGGCCUUCUGGAUCCAGAGACAACGCUGCCAUCCUCGCCUGCUCAUCCAGGAAGGAGCCUGCCUUCGGGUCCGGCGGCUGCACACUGAGGAGUACAAAGCCAAGAGCAGGAGACCCAAUGGCACAGCCAUUCUCCAGGCUCGCGGCUUCCACACACACACCUGGCCAUAGCCUGGCAUGCGGCAUACCAUGGGGGUCACCAAGGACCUGGCAAAUGCCUUCACUCCCUUUCUCUCUAGAUUCAGUUCUCUGAUACUGCCGGACGGGUGCUCACAUUUUCCCAUUGGGCUAACACCAGGAAAAUGCUGGAAUGCCCGUGCUCUGUCAGUCACCCUCGUCGUUUCCUGACCUCGGCCUAUUGGGUCACUGCUUUGUGGACAUUGAACCAGAUUCCUCCUUCAGUGGACCUCGGAGUUUCAGACAGGUUUUCAUCGUACAGGACGCAUAUGCCACCAGGAGUCAUCUUCAAUCCUAUACUGUCCCUCCUGUGUUCCCUUAGCUUGACCUUCUUUGUUGAUCAAUUUAUUAAAGGGCUGGGUAAGAUAUCAAUACCCUACCUGAACUUCCAGGGGUCCGUGGGAUGGGAAGCGUCUCAUGAUACCUGUCACCAUGGACUGUGCAAUUUGGUCUUGCCUUUACUCCCUCUCCCUUUCGUUUCCUUUUCU